GGAUUAGAUACCCUGGUAGUCCACGCCGUAAACGUUGGGUGCUCGCCGUUGCGGGUAUUGACCCCUGCAGUGGCCAAGCUAACGCUAUAAGCACCCCGCCUGGGAAGUACGGUCGCAAGACUAAAACUCAAAGAAAUUGACGGGACCCCGCACAAGCGGCGGAGCAUGUGGUUUAAUUCGAAGAUACGCGCAGAACCUUACCAACACUCGACAUGUUCGUCGCGAGACCAAGAGAUUGGUUUCUUCAUUCAGUUGGACGAGACACAGGUGCUGCAUGGCUGUCGUCAGCUCGUGCCG
Molecule: ribosomal RNA, 297 nt
Filed under: uncultured bacterium
Lineage: Bacteria
Description: partial 16S ribosomal RNA
Rfam family: Bacterial small subunit ribosomal RNA
Source: RNAcentral